CUCACAAUGCUCUCCAAGUGGUGCAGGACACCGCUCCUUAAGACCCUCUGCAUCAGCAAGCUUUGUCCAACCCUGGAACAACAACUGUGAUGCCUUGAGCCCCUAAAAUAAACAAAAGCAGGAAACUGGGGAUCAGAUGUGAAGUGAGCAACAAGAAGCAUCCUCCAUGCCAGCCGACUCAGCCCCAUUGGUGACAUGGUAAAUCAGCAGGAAGAUUCUCAUUGCUCCAUUUUUAAUGUCCUCUCCCUAUUUUAAGAGGGAAAAAGGAUACUUAAUUCAUUAUCAUGGAUACUUAAUUCAAAUUAUCUUAGACUCUGUUCAAGUAAAUAAAUUAUGCAUAUAAAACUUCAUGAAUUGAUAAAAUAAUUUAUCAUUGUUACCAGUUCUUAUAGUGCCUUUUCAUGUAGAAACUAGCACGGUCUUUAUAAAGCAUCAAAAAACAGAGAAUACUGAACUUUGGUUUAAACAAGUUACUGGGAAGCACGUCAAGUUUUUACAUAAAAACUGUGAACACUCAUACAAGAGAAAAAGAAAAUACAGCAUUCUGUUUAAUACUUAAAAGUUUAGAAACUGAGAGCCAUUCUCAUUAUGGAAAAAAUAUAACAUCUGCA
Long non-coding RNA from Phasianus colchicus (ring-necked pheasant), 611 nucleotides. RefSeq lists it as uncharacterized. The record is from RefSeq and is a predicted model, not a curated record. NCBI's taxonomy places the organism in Eukaryota, Metazoa, Chordata, Aves, Galliformes, Phasianidae.